Molecule: ribosomal RNA, 1151 nt
Filed under: uncultured bacterium
Lineage: Bacteria
Description: bacterial SSU rRNA
Rfam family: Bacterial small subunit ribosomal RNA
Source: RNAcentral
UAGCUACAGGCUUAACACAUGCAAGUCGAGGGGAAACGACAUCGAAAGCUUGCUUUUGAUGGGCGUCGACCGGCGCACGGGUGAGUAACGCGUAUCCAACCUGCCCACCACUUGGGGAUAACCUUGCGAAAGUAAGACUAAUACCCAAUGAUAUCUCUAGAAGGCAUCUGAAAGAGAUUAAAGAUUUAUCGGUGAUGGAUGGGGAUGCGUCUGAUUAGCUUGUUGGCGGGGUAACGGCCCACCAAGGCAACGAUCAGUAGGGGUUCUGAGAGGAAGGUCCCCCACAUUGGAACUGAGACACGGUCCAAACUCCUACGGGAGGCAGCAGUGAGGAAUAUUGGUCAAUGGACGAGAGUCUGAACCAGCCAAGUAGCGUGCAGGAUGACGGCCCUAUGGGUUGUAAACUGCUUUUAUAAGGGAAUAAAGUGAGAGUCGUGACUCUUUUUGCAUGUACCUUAUGAAUAAGGACCGGCUAAUUCCGUGCCAGCAGCCGCGGUAAUACGGAAGGUCCGGGCGUUAUCCGGAUUUAUUGGGUUUAAAGGGAGCGUAGGCCGGAGAUUAAGCGUGUUGUGAAAUGUAGAUGCUCAACGUCUGCACUGCAGCGCGAACUGGUUUCCUUGAGUACGCACAAAGUGGGCGGAAUUCGUGGUGUAGCGGUGAAAUGCUUAGAUAUCACGAAGAACUCCGAUUGCGAAGGCAGCUCACUGGAGCGCAACUGACGCUGAAGCUCGAAAGUGCGGGUAUCGAACAGGAUUAGAUACCCUGGUAGUCCGCACGGUAAACGAUGGAUGCCCGCUGUUGGUCUGAAUAGGUCAGCGGCCAAGCGAAAGCAUUAAGCAUCCCACCUGGGGAGUACGCCGGCAACGGUGAAACUCAAAGGAAUUGACGGGGGCCCGCACAAGCGGAGGAACAUGUGGUUUAAUUCGAUGAUACGCGAGGAACCUUACCCGGGCUUGAAUUGCAGAGGAAAGAUUUGGAGACAAUGACGCCCUUCGGGGUCUCUGUGAAGGUGCUGCAUGGUUGUCGUCAGCUCGUGCCGUGAGGUGUCGGCUUAAGUGCCAUAACGAGCGCAACCCCUCCCCUUAGUUGCCAUCAGGUUAAGCUGGGCACUCUGGGGACACUGCCACCGUAAGGUGUGAGGAAGGUGGGGA